UACGUAGGGACCAAGCGUUGUUCGGAUUUACUGGGCGUAAAGGGCGCGUAGGCGGUGCGGUAAGUCACUUGUGAAAUCUCUGAGCUUAACUCAGAACGGCCAAGUGAUACUGCAGUGCUAGAGUGCGGAAGGGGCAAUCGGAAUUCUUGGUGUAGCGGUGAAAUGCGUAGAUAUCAAGAGGAACACCUGAGGUGAAGACGGGUUGCUGGGCUGACACUGACGCUGAGGCGCGAAAGCUAGGGUAGCAAACGGG
This 253-nucleotide ribosomal RNA is filed under the name uncultured bacterium. Its description in RNAcentral is "partial 16S ribosomal RNA". It matches the Rfam family "Bacterial small subunit ribosomal RNA", at positions 524 to 776 of the family's 1533-position model. The record is from RNAcentral.